This 500-nucleotide ribosomal RNA is filed under the name uncultured bacterium. RNAcentral describes it as "partial 16S ribosomal RNA". It matches the Rfam family "Bacterial small subunit ribosomal RNA", at positions 30 to 523 of the family's 1533-position model. The record is from RNAcentral.
AUUGAACGCUGGCGGCAGGCCUAACACAUGCAAGUCGAGCGGAUGAAGGGAGCUUGCUCCUGGAUUCAGCGGCGGACGGGUGAGUAAUGCCUAGGAAUCUGCCUGGUAGUGGGGGACAACGUUUCGAAAGGAACGCUAAUACCGCAUACGUCCUACGGGAGAAAGCAGGGGACCUUCGGGCCUUGCGCUAUCAGAUGAGCCUAGGUCGGAUUAGCUAGUUGGUGAGGUACUGGCUCACCAAGGCGACGAUCCGUAACUGGUCUGAGAGGAUGAUCAGUCACACUGGAACUGAGACAAGGUCCAGAGUCCUACGGGAGGCAGCAGUGGGGAAGAUUGGACAAUGGGCGAAAGCCUGAUCCAGCCAUGCCGCGUGUGUGAAGAAGGUCUUCGGAUUGUAAAGCACUUUAAGUUGGGAGGAAGGGUUGUAGAUUAAUACUCUGCAAUUUUGGCGUUACCGACAGAAUAAGCACCGGCUAACUCUGUGCCAGCCGCCGCGGUAA